This 668-nucleotide unclassified non-coding RNA is filed under the name uncultured Prochlorococcus sp. RNAcentral describes it as "partial may contain 16S ribosomal RNA, 16S-23S ribosomal RNA intergenic spacer, and 23S ribosomal RNA". The stretch from base 293 to 365 matches the Rfam family "tRNA". The record is from RNAcentral. Lineage: Bacteria; Bacillati; Cyanobacteriota; Cyanophyceae; Synechococcales; Prochlorococcaceae.
GACGCCGAAGGUGGGGCUAAUGACUGGGGUGAAGUCGUAACAAGGUAGCCGUACCGGAAGGUGCGGCUGGAUCACCUCCUAACAGGGAGACAACAAAAUGUUUAAUAUUAAUUUUGUCACCUUAGGUCGAUCGGUACCUCACAUUCUUAAAUUAUUAAGGAUUUUAUUUCCUAAGUUUUUUCUAGGUCACACCCAUUAUUUUUCCUGGGCCAUUAGCUCAGGUGGUUAGAGCGCACCCCUGAUAAGGGUGAGGUCCCUGGUUCAAGUCCAGGAUGGCCCAUAUCUCUAUGUUGGGGGUAUAGCUCAGUUGGUAGAGCGCCUGCUUUGCAAGCAGGAUGUCAGCGGUUCGAGUCCGCUUACCUCCACUGAUUACCACCUCUUCCAUAAUUUUUUAGAAGGGAAAAUUUUGAGUUGUGAUCUAAUUCUGAACGAAUCUAGCUUCCUAAUAAAUCUGUUAAGAAGCUGGACUCAUUGAAUUAAAUUCAUUGUUUUCAGAGAACCUUGACAACUGCAUAGAUUAUUUUUUAAAGACAAUAAGCAUCUUUAUUGAUGCAGAUUUAUUAUUUGUGCGAAUGCAUUAAUAACAAUUCUAUUAAGCUGAUGCUUCAAUUUUUGAAGUUAUUGGUCAAGCUACAAAGGGCUCACGGAGGAUACCUAGGCACACAGAG